ACAGUGGCUAUUUGACUCAACGCGGGAAAUCUUACCGGGUCCGGACACACUGAGGAUUGACAGACAGUAUUCAUGCCGACUGAAUUUCGACAUAUUUCAAAUGUGCGAGUUCUUUCAUGAUUGUGUGAUAGGUGGUGCAUGGCCGUUCUUAGUUCGUGGAGUGAUCUGUCUGCUUAAUUGCGUUUCAUAUUUACGAAUGUCGCUUACGUGAUUGCUGCAGACCUCGCGUCUCUUUAUUGAGU
Molecule: ribosomal RNA, 242 nt
Filed under: Hastigerina pelagica
Lineage: Eukaryota; Foraminifera; Rotaliida; Hantkeninidae
Description: partial 18S ribosomal RNA
Rfam family: Eukaryotic small subunit ribosomal RNA
Source: RNAcentral